GUGGGCAUCUAAUCUCGGUGAUUACCAUUUAGAUUUAAUUCUUUAUCAUUUGCAUGGUGGUGCAUUUGUGAAAAUUAUUUGAGUAAAUAGUGAAUGCCAUUAGGUCUGAGAAAUCCAAAACUAAAUAACCUGAAGUAUAAGAUGGUUCUUUUAGCUAGGUCAUAUAUGAGAAGAAAUAAUUUAUUGACUAGAAAAAAUGGGCCUUUGGGCUCAUUGAAUGUUUAGUC
This 227-nucleotide long non-coding RNA is filed under the name Elaeis guineensis (African oil palm). Its description in RNAcentral is "long non-coding RNA (EGUI_LNC071459)". The record is from RNAcentral. Lineage: Eukaryota; Viridiplantae; Streptophyta; Magnoliopsida; Arecales; Arecaceae.